This 480-nucleotide ribosomal RNA is filed under the name uncultured bacterium. RNAcentral's name for it is "SSU rRNA". It matches the Rfam family "Bacterial small subunit ribosomal RNA", at positions 26 to 518 of the family's 1533-position model. The record is from RNAcentral.
AGGACGAACGCUGGCGGCGUGCCUCAUGCAUGCAAGUGGAGCGACGAACCAGGAUUUAUCCUGGGGCAAAGCCGCGAACGGGUGAGUAACACGUGGGUUACCUGCCCCGAUGAUUGGGACAACCCGAGGAAACUCGGGCUAAUACCAAAUGUGUUCUUGGUCGUGAUGACCAAGAAGAAAGGAAGCCUCGGCCUCCGCAUCGGGAUGGGCCCGCGGCCCAUUAGCUAGUUGGUGGGGUAAUGGCCUACCAAGGCGACGAUGGGUAGCUGGUCUGAGAGGACGAUCAGCCACACUGGGACUGAGACACGGCCCAGACUCCUACGGGAGGCAGCAGUGGGGAAUAUUGGACAAUGGGCGCAAGCCUGAUCCAGCAAUGCCGCGUGAGUGAAGAAGGUCUUCGGAUUGUAAAGCUCUUUCGACGGGGACGAUGAUGACGGUACCCGUAGAAGAAGCCCCGGCUAACUUCGUGCCAGCAGCCGC